GCCUCGGUGGUGUAGUGGUUAGAGAACGCAUCCCCGGAUAGGAUGAAACGCCGGUUCGAUUCCCUGCCUGAGGCC
Non-coding RNA from Parelaphostrongylus tenuis, 75 nucleotides. Lineage: Eukaryota; Metazoa; Nematoda; Chromadorea; Rhabditida; Metastrongylidae. The record is from the annotation of a GenBank genome assembly.